Pogoniulus pusillus (Red-fronted tinkerbird) is the source of this 481-nucleotide long non-coding RNA. RefSeq lists it as uncharacterized. The transcript has 4 exons. The record is from RefSeq and is a predicted model, not a curated record. NCBI's taxonomy places the organism in Eukaryota, Metazoa, Chordata, Aves, Piciformes, Lybiidae.
CUCAUGCAUCUGCUGUUGGAUCUUCUGAGAAGGGAGGCUCCUGCGUUCCUAUUUCACCAUAAUUGGCUGCAGAAAUGUGGGUGGCAGCACAAUUCAUCCCAGGAUUUGAUGACUUCUUUACUAAUUAAGUUUAAUAACCUCUUUGCACGGUGUAGAAUGAAUGCAGCAGCUGGGCUGGUGUGUUGGCAGCAGCCCUGCACAUCGCACCGCGGCACGGGCGGGCUCAGGAGCCCUGCCUGGCUUUGGGCACUCUGCAGAGGUGAUGACACACAACCCCCCCCGCAGGGCUGGAAGAUGAACCUGCUGAAGUCCUGUGCCCUCCAGACAGGCUGUUCACAGCUUUGAGAGCCUGACCCUUGCCCGGGUGCUGCAUGGCUGCUGUGCUGGUCAGGCUGAGCGGUUGCGGCGCUUGGGCAGGGCCGAGCUAGCUGGAGCUGCACUUCUCAAAAUGAAAAGUUAAUAAGAGUCCAUCUGGUUGCAA